AGGAGAGUUUGAUCCUGGCUCAGGACGAACGCUGGCGGCGUGCUUCAUACAUGCAAGUCGAACGAGAAGCAGGAGCUUGCUCCUGUGGAAAGUGGCGGACGGGUGAGUAACACGUAGGGAAUCUGCCUUUAGGAUGGGGACAACAGUUGGAAACGACUGCUAAAACCCGAUAUGAGCUAAGUUGAAAUACUUAUCUUGAAAACUCCGGUGCCUAGAGAUGAGCCUGCGUCUGAUUAGCUUGUUGGCGGGGUAAAUGCCCACCAAGGCGACGAUCAGUAGCUGGUUUGAGAGGAUGAUCAGCCACAAUGGGACUGAGACACGGCCCAUACUCCUACGGGAGGCAGCAGUAGGGAAUUUUGCGCAAUGGGGGAAACCCUGACGCAGCAACGCCGCGUGGACGAAGAAGCCCUUCGGGGUGUAAAGUUCUGUCAGUAGGGAAGAAACAAUGACUGUACCUACAGAGGAAGCACCGGCUAACUCCGUGCCAGCAGCCGCGGUAAUACGGAGGGUGCAAGCGUUGUCCGGAAUCAUUGGGCGUAAAGCGUUCGUAGGCGGCAUAUCAAGUCUGGUGUUAAAGCCCGGGGCUUAACUCCGGUAGGGCACUGGAUACUGGUAAGCUGGAAUGAGGUAGAGGUAAUGGGAAUUCCUGGUGUAGCGGUGAAAUGCGUAGAUAUCAGGAGGAACAUCGGUGGCGUAAGCGCAUUACUGGGCCUUAAUUGACGCUGAGGCACGAAAGCAUGGGUAGCAAACAGGAUUAGAUACCCUGGUAGUCCCCU
Molecule: ribosomal RNA, 776 nt
Filed under: uncultured Pseudomonadota bacterium
Lineage: Bacteria; Pseudomonadati; Pseudomonadota
Description: bacterial SSU rRNA
Rfam family: Bacterial small subunit ribosomal RNA
Source: RNAcentral